GGUGUGGAGGUUUUAUCAAGAGUUUGCUCUGCUCAUACAGUCCCCGUGAGGGCUGUGGGGCAUUCUAGUCAUGGAAUCAUGAAAUCAUUAAGGUUAGAAAAGAACUCUGAGAUCACUGAGGCACAUCGAGGUUCCCUCCUCAGCCCCCAUUUGCUUAAAAACCUGCUGGAGUUUGACCACAGAUGCUUCAGGAGCAAAUCUGGAAAAGCUUUUAGAGACUCAGGAGCUCUACCAGAGGCAGAAACUGUUCCCUGGUUUUUGCCUGGUUUGCUGUUCAGGCAGAGGAAAGACGUGCAUGGGAAAACCUGUGACAUAGGAGGCUCUGAGGAAAUAUUAAAGGAGAGAAAUACAUUUCUGAGGAUGGAAGGAGGAAGAGAAGAGCAUUAAGAUCCAGUUGCUAAUGGACUGUGUGGCAUCUACCACUUCCAGGAGUUCUUAAUGGCCUUUGUGACUUAGAAAAGGAAGAUUUAAACUGAGGUUUAAUAAAUCUUUUGGGCCAACAGCUCAAAACAACAACA
Pseudopipra pipra is the source of this 518-nucleotide long non-coding RNA. RefSeq lists it as uncharacterized. The record is from RefSeq and is a predicted model, not a curated record. NCBI's taxonomy places the organism in Eukaryota, Metazoa, Chordata, Aves, Passeriformes, Pipridae. The transcript is spliced from 3 exons.